This 71-nucleotide transfer RNA is filed under the name Platymantis sp. SR2627. RNAcentral describes it as "tRNA-Val". The record is from RNAcentral. Lineage: Eukaryota; Metazoa; Chordata; Amphibia; Anura; Ceratobatrachidae.
CAAAAUGUAGCUUAAUCUAAAGCCCCUUGCUUACACCAAGACCCUGUCCGUUAAACUCGGAUCAUUUUGAG